AAAGAGAGACACAGAGAGAGAGAGGAAGACACAGAAAGAGAGAGAGAGAGAGAGAGAGAGAGAGAGAGACAGAGGGCGAGAGAAAGAGAGAGACUGAGGGAGAGACAGACAGGUCUCCUGGAUUCUCAGUGGACGGUUCAUGGUGACCCCGCUCUCUCUCUCUCUGUGGCUGCAGGGUGGUGCGUCUCUGCGGGGGUCAUGUGCACCACCAUCAUGUUCCUCUCCACUUUGGCUCUAGUCCUCCGCAAACAUUUCACCAGCCAAGUCAAGACGUUUCCCAAAGACUCGGGGAAAAAGGAGGAAGCCAGCAAGGACGGCACCAGAGACGCUGCAGCAUGAGACUUAGCGUGUGAACCACCUCAGAUGUGGGUUGCAGAUGUGGAGGCUGUCCUCAGGUCCAUGGCGAGACAGCUGAAUGCAUCUCUGGAGAAAUAUCCUCGCCGUGACAGAAGUCGUCCCCCUUCUUUGGACCACUGCAGGUCUCUCCCUCGACGACCUGCUGAUCCAGAGGGGCCGCUUUAGACGUGUUGGAAGUGUUUGAAGGCAGAAUUCAAGGAAAAUCUCACAUUUUGGCAUUUAAACUGAAAUGUG
This is a long non-coding RNA of Labrus mixtus (cuckoo wrasse), 591 nucleotides long. RefSeq lists it as uncharacterized. The transcript is spliced from 4 exons. The record is from RefSeq and is a predicted model, not a curated record. Lineage: Eukaryota; Metazoa; Chordata; Actinopteri; Labriformes; Labridae.